RNAcentral lists this long non-coding RNA (1040 nucleotides) under Panax ginseng (ginseng). RNAcentral's name for it is "long non-coding RNA (PGIN_LNC003374)". The record is from RNAcentral. Lineage: Eukaryota; Viridiplantae; Streptophyta; Magnoliopsida; Apiales; Araliaceae.
CCAAAGAAGACUUCUAUAUCUUUAGAGUGGGUAAACACCGUCUUUUGUAGGUACAAAAGAGGCUAUAUAUGAGCUCACAGGUGUUUAAAAUGAGAAAGUACACUUCGUGGGGUGAGUGCUGAGCAAAUUGGGCAGGGCUUCCUCGUCGUUUUCUCUUGCAAAAUGGGCAGCCUAAGGCCUCUAUUUAAAGACGAUUUAGCCGCAGGUGUACCUGCGGAUGAGCCUUAGGUGUACCUGCGGCUGAGCUGCAGGUUUACCAUAGGCAACUCGGGUGGGCCCGGGUUUCUCGGGUCGGGUCGUCUCAUAGUACGUGCACUCGGGCACUGUAAUGUCUACUCGAACUUUCAGAAGUACAAUCUGGGCAUCCGUUUGAGGUAUACAGGACCUAUUUCGGACUGCCGUUGUCGAGAGUUGUACAAUGACAUGGGAUUAGAGUUUGUACGAAGUUAUUGAAGAUGGGACGAUGCCCUCCGGUCUUCAAGCUUCAAAUUCUAUCCGUUACCCCGCACAAUAGUCACUCGGGAUUGGUUAGUCUUGUGGGACAUCAUUGCAUAGAGAUGUUGAGACGACGUGGUGUGGCAUCACGUUGGCUAGAUGACGAUGUUUCCCAUAACCGGUGUUAUCGCCGGAUUGGGCUGAUAAAACAGACGUUGCUCAGAGCUUCGCUAAGAUUGGACUGUUGCAUUUGUUGAAGGUCUUCAUUGUCAUCUUUGAGGUGUAUUUGUCCUCCCGAAAUUAUCACUGGGUUGAUACAGUGUAUCUCGUUGUGAGCGCUGAGAUUGAAGCUGGUCGCAUUUGAAACAAGCAUUUCUGGGGUUAUCGUCGAAACUGCAUUCCUUGGGGUUAUCACCAAGGUUGGUGGCUAUUCCCAUGGUUGGGACUGAGACUGGAUACCUCGGCGUUAUCUCGGAGAUUAAUCGGUCUUCUCCGGUGUGUGUUCCGGUGUUGGAUCUACAUGCCUCGGGGUUAUAUCUGAGGUUGGAUUUGUUACUCCUAGAGUGAUCUGGGGUUGAUGCUGAACUUCCGGUAGUAUCCGGUAU